AAAAUGUGUGAUUCAAUGCGCACACUACCAUUUAGCACUUUGUUUCAAUUUGUUCAGCAUCCACCUCCUUCAUCCGAGAUGAGAACUGGUGUACCCAUAAUCCUCUUUGUUGCAGUGGCAGGUUUCCACAGUGUGAUUUCAUUUUCUCUGCAAUGUGAUGAAACGACUAAAUUGUCAGAAGAGAGAGCGUUUGAAGAGAACAGCACAACACCACAAACAGAUGGAGAGACAAAGGCAGUGACAGACACUACAGAGGAGGAAAAUGGUGAAGAAUCAGACGAUGGUGAGAGAGAGGCACUAGCAGACUCUACAGGAGCGAACACCGGAAGUGACGCGCCAACAGGAAGGUCACGCUCGGUGGAGGUCCAUUCAUCACCACACGAGGGCGACAAACACAGUGAGCAGGUGGAAGAGAAUGUGAAAAGUUCUGAGGAUUCCAGUGAAGAAUACGGUGGAUAUUACGAUUCUUAAGACUGUGUGGAAGGCAUCUAACAUCUUUAAACCUAAAUGCCUUGUUUUAUAAAUCAUAUUGCAAAAUUUCUAACCAACUGUCUGUAGCACCUGGACAAAAAACAUGCAUUGUGACCACUGCUUUUUUUUUCUUUCCAAAUAAAGACUGUAAGCACUGGCGGGUGUCCAGCAUUCAUAGAAACGCUAGGUUGCAGAUGGGUGUAAUAACAGAUGAUUACAUGGCUUCUUAGAGGCAGCAGUGUGAGUAGCAGAUGUGGCAGUGUUAGAACAUAUCUAGGACGGUUAUCCAGGCCAGCGGCGUCUACAGUCCGUGGGUGCUCAUUUGAGCUUUAUUUAUAUCAUCUGCAUUGUCCCAGCUUAUUUUUGGACCAAAGAUGCAUCAUCGCCCGUCCCCAAAUCCCACAACCUGAUGAGGACGAGCUGUUUUACUGCAUAUAGAGCAGCAAGCAUUUAUUGCGGUUUUACUGUAUAUAGAAAAAGACUCCUAAACUCUCAAGAAAUACUUUGCAAUUGUGGAGGGAAAUGUUGAUAGUUCUUUGCUAAAUGCAUGUUUCGCAUUUAGUCCAUGUUGUAAUGCAUCGUUUUAAUGGUCAAAAUUUAAAUCUAUAGUGUUUUGUCUGUUAAGGAUUAGGGAACUACACAC
RNAcentral lists this long non-coding RNA (1114 nucleotides) under Sinocyclocheilus anshuiensis. Its description in RNAcentral is "lncRNA (ENSSANG00000037864.1)". Lineage: Eukaryota; Metazoa; Chordata; Actinopteri; Cypriniformes; Cyprinidae. The record is from RNAcentral.